CUCACCAUGGGAUGGAGCUGGAUCAUUCUCUUCCUCCUAUCAGUAACUACGGGUGUCCACUCCCAGGUCCAGCUACAGCAGUCUGGUCCUGGGCUGGGGAAUCCUGGGUCCUCAGUGAAGUUGUCCUGCAAGGCUUCUGGCUACACCUUCACUAAUUACGAAAUGCACUGGGUGAGACAGAGGCCUGGACAGGGCCUGGAGUGGAUUGGAUGGAUUUAUCCUGCAAAUAGUAAUACUGGAUAUGCUCAGAAGUUCCAGGGCAAGGUCAAACUGACUGCAGACAAAUCCUCCAGCACAGCCUACAUGGAUCUCAGCAGCCUGACCUCUGAGGACUCUGCGGUCUAUUAUUGUGCAAGAAAGACAGUGUUGCAACCCACAUCCUGA
This is a non-coding RNA of Peromyscus californicus insignis, 384 nucleotides long. The record is from the annotation of a RefSeq genome assembly. NCBI's taxonomy places the organism in Eukaryota, Metazoa, Chordata, Mammalia, Rodentia, Cricetidae.